This 253-nucleotide ribosomal RNA is filed under the name uncultured bacterium. RNAcentral's name for it is "partial 16S ribosomal RNA". It matches the Rfam family "Bacterial small subunit ribosomal RNA", at positions 524 to 776 of the family's 1533-position model. The record is from RNAcentral.
GACGUAGGGCGCGAGCGUUGUCCGGAUUUAUUGGGCGUAAAGAGCUCGUAGGCGGCUUGUUGCGUCGACCGUGAAAACUUGGGGCUCAACCCCAAGCCUGCGGUCGAUACGGGCAGGCUCGAGUUCGGUAGGGGAGACUGGAAUUCCUGGUGUAGCGGUGAAAUGCGCAGAUAUCAGGAGGAACACCGGUGGCGAAGGCGGGUCUCUGGGCCGAUACUGACGCUGAGGAGCGAAAGCGUGGGGAGCGAACAGG